Molecule: RNA transcript, 1292 nt
Organism: Musa acuminata AAA Group (dessert banana)
Lineage: Eukaryota; Viridiplantae; Streptophyta; Magnoliopsida; Zingiberales; Musaceae
Exons: 3
Source: RefSeq, a predicted model, not a curated record
GCUCACUUCUCUUCCUCCACUUUCAUCCUUCGACCUAAAACGUCGCCCACCUCUUCUCCUCAGCGGUUUCCCCAGUGGAGAAGGCGUCGUCGUCUUUCCCUUGUACGAUUUUGAGGGACGGAUCUGGUCACCACUGGGGAGGGGGCGAGGAUCCAUGGCGUUCUCAGCGGAGGCAGCGACCAUGCCCUCCGAGACGGCCACUGCCGCGUUGUCGGCGGGCCGGGGAAGCCUUCUCCACAAGUUUUCAUUCCCGAUCUUCAAGACGUGGGGUAAACAGCGGAUCCUUCGCUGCAUGAGCGUGGACGGCAAGGGCGAGGCCGUCGGCGGCGGCUCGGGAGGUGCGAGACCGUCCGAGGUGGAUGGCGAGGACGAGGAGGGGAUCGAGGACGUGAGAGAGAAGCUUUUGGUUCACGUACGGGAGGCGGCGGACCGGAUGAAGCUGGUAGUCCCGCCGCUUCCGCCGUCGCCGAGGGUUGUGAAGACCGUGACGGAAGCGGAUCGGCAGGCGGAGGAGGACGCCGACGCGGAGCCCGAGCCUUCGUCGUCCCCUGCGUCGCGACCUUGGAAGCUGAGGACUAGGCGCCGGGGUUCUAGGGCUCCUUCGGGGUUCGAGCCGCAAACGAGCGCGUCUCCUGAGACGGCGGCGGAGAAGAGGCCGGUGCGGCUGAGGUCGGGGAGCACGGAACGGAAAGAGCGGCCCAAGUUCUCGAUCACCCUCACGAGGGAGGAGAUCGACGAGGACAUCUAUUCGGUGACGGGCCACAGGGCCCGCCGGCGGCCCCGUAAGCGUCACCGCGUCGUCCAGAAGCAGCUCGAUUUGCUGUUCCCUGGUUCAUGGCUGUCGGAGAUCACCCACGACACAUACAAGGUCCCCGAUUAAAGGCAACCUCACCUCCUGCGGUGUGACUCCUUCCCCUCUUCUUUCCGCCAUCGCCAUUGAUUCAUCUCCAAAGUCUCCCACCUCCAUCGGUUCCCCAAAAGCGUAGCAGAUGACACAGCUUUUGUGUGACGGGUUACACUGCUGCUGACACUUUUACGUGCCAAGAAGCGUAGCAGACAUCAGAAUCAACUGUUCCUCGUGCAAGGACGGGGGUAAGGUGGAGGAGCGAGGAAGGUUUCGUGAGUCGAGAAGAAGGAAGACGAGGGUUUAAUGAAGGGGAGCGGCGGUUGCCCGGUAGGUGGUUUCGCGGAGGUGACCAUGGCAUGGUCAGCGCGUGGACGUUGCCACCCGUCCCUUCCUCUGCGGUUCCUGUAUUUGCCUGAAUAAUACCACACACGAUUGGUAGAGCUCC